UAGGGAAUCUUCCGCAAUGGGCGAAAGCCUGACGGAGCAACGCCGCGUGAGUGAUGAAGGUCUUCGGAUCGUAAAACUCUGUUAUUAGGGAAGAACAAAUGUGUAAGUAACUAUGCACGUCUUGACGGUACCUAAUCAGAAAGCCACGGCUAACUACGUGCCAGCAGCCGCGGUAAUACGUAGGGCGCAAGCGUUAUCCGGAAUUAUUGGGCGUAAAGAGCUUGUAGGCGGUUCGUCGCGUCUGGUGUGAAAGCCCAUCGCUUAACGGUGGGUUUGCGCCGGGUACGGGCGGGCUAGAGUGCAGUAGGGGAGACUGGAAUUCCCGGUGUAACGGUGGAAUGUGUAGAUAUCGGGAAGAACACCAAUGGCGAAGGCAGGUCUCUGGGCUGUUACUGACGCUGAGAAGCGAAAGCGUGGGGAGCGAACAGG
Molecule: ribosomal RNA, 429 nt
Filed under: Bacteroidota bacterium
Lineage: Bacteria; Pseudomonadati; Bacteroidota
Description: Bacteroidetes bacterium partial 16S ribosomal RNA
Rfam family: Bacterial small subunit ribosomal RNA
Source: RNAcentral